This 1171-nucleotide unclassified non-coding RNA is filed under the name Drosophila virilis. RNAcentral describes it as "GJ21618". Lineage: Eukaryota; Metazoa; Arthropoda; Insecta; Diptera; Drosophilidae. The record is from RNAcentral.
UAGUCACAUAUCUAGCGAUCCUUUAAGCAUUUAGAUCAUUUUACAGUUUAAUAAAUAUGCUUCGUAAUCUGCCAAAUGGACUGAAAUUGUGCGGGCGUUUAGUGCCCAUUCGUUUCGCAAGUAAUAUAAAAGCCGAGGAGUUCAUAAAGGUAAAAAAUCAACAAGGCGUGCGUAAAAUCACAUUAUGCCAUCCGCGUACACGGAAUUCCCUCUCGAUGGACAUGAUGUGCGCCCUGCACGAGGCACUCAUCGCGGAUCGGGAAAAUGUAGAGCUGCGAUGCGUUGUUCUGACGGCCGAGGGCAAAGUUUGGUCUGCUGGCCACAAUUUAAAGGAGCUGCAGCCCAACGAUAUUCAAUUUCGGGACUCUGUUUUCCAAAAGUUAACCGACAUUGUGCUGGACAUAAAAAAGUUGCCUGUGCCGGUGAUAGCCAAGGUUAAUGGCUAUGCGGCUGCGGCUGGCUGUCAGCUGGCGGCUUCCUGCGACAUUAUUGUGGCCUCGGACAAGAGCAUGUUCUCCACGCCUGGCGCCGGCGUUGGUGUAUUCUGCAACACGCCCGGCGUGGCCGUUGGACGCGUCAUGUCGCGCCCCAAGUCGGCGUACAUGCUAAUGACUGGCCUGCCUCUAAGCAGUCAGGAGGCCUACGUGGCUGGCUUGGUCACAAAAGUGGUACCGGAAAACGAGCUGGAGAAAACAAUUGAGGAAAUUGUCGGUGCCAUCAGAGAAAAAAGUCGUGCCGUUAUCGCCCUCGGCAAGGAAUUUUACUAUCAACAGCUCAAUAUGCCGCUCGAGGAUGCCUACAUUAAGGCCAAGGCUAAAAUGAAUGAAAAUCUGCAAUUAGAAGACUGCAAGGAGGGCAUGAGCAGCUUCGUUGAGAAGCGUGCGCCCAAAUGGAAGCAUACCAAAUGAGAUCUGUCACCUGCCGAGAUAAACUAUCAGUUGUAUGGACCCGAACAAAUGUGCAUUUAGCUUAUGUAUGGACAAAUAUAGUUAAGAACUUAUUAUGCAUUUUAAACGCACUCGUCUACGUUCUUGCCAUCCUGAUCAUCUCGUUAAUCAUCCUUACGGCUGCAUAUGAUAAUGGAGUUAAUCAAGGACACUGAACAUGAAACUGAAGCACACAUUGUUCGCUACUUAGACGGAAGUCAUUGAUGGUAUCAACCACAAUGUCG